Molecule: ribosomal RNA, 397 nt
Filed under: uncultured Gammaproteobacteria bacterium
Lineage: Bacteria; Pseudomonadati; Pseudomonadota; Gammaproteobacteria
Description: bacterial SSU rRNA
Rfam family: Bacterial small subunit ribosomal RNA
Source: RNAcentral
UGAGUAACGCGUAGGAAUCUACCGAGUAGUGGGGGACAACAGUUGGAAACGACUGCUAAUACCGCAUAAUCCCUGAGGGGGAAAGGAGGGGAUCUGUUUACAGACCUUUCGCUAUUUGAUGAGCCUGCGUGAGAUUAGCUAGUUGGUGAGGUAAUGGCUCACCAAGGCGACGAUCUCUAGCUGGUCUGAGAGGAUGAUCAGCCACACUGGAACUGAGACACGGUCCAGACUCCUACGGGAGGCAGCAGUGGGGAAUAUUGCACAAUGGGGGAAACCCUGAUGCAGCCAUGCCGCGUGUGUGAAGAAGGCCUUCGGGUUGUAAAGCACUUUCAGCGAGGAGGAAAGGAGUAUGUUUAAUAAACGUGCUCUGUGACGUUACUCGCAGAAGAAGCACCGG